RNAcentral lists this ribosomal RNA (344 nucleotides) under uncultured bacterium. RNAcentral's name for it is "bacterial SSU rRNA". It matches the Rfam family "Bacterial small subunit ribosomal RNA", at positions 8 to 334 of the family's 1533-position model. The record is from RNAcentral.
AGAGUUUGAUUAUGGCUCAGGAUGAACGCUGGCGGCGUGCUUAACACAUGCAAGUCGAACGAAGCAAUUUAACGGAAGUUUUCGGAUGGAAGCUAGAUUGACUGAGUGGCGGACGGGUGAGUAACGCGUGGGUAACCUGCCUCACACUGGGGGACAACAGUUAGAAAUGACUGCUAAUGCCGCAUAAGCGCACAGGAUCGCAUGGUCUAGUGUGAAAAACUCUGGUGGUGUGAGAUGGACCCGCGUUUGAUUAGCUAGUUGGUGGGGUAACGGCCUACCAAGGCGACGAUCAAUGGCCGACCUGAGAGGGUGACCGGCCACAUUGGGACUGAGACACGGCCCAA